GGGCGUAAGCGCACGCAGGCGGUUUGUUAAGCUAGAUGUGAAAGCCCCGGGCUCAACCUGGGACGGUCAUUUAGAACUGGCAGACUAGAGUCUUGGAGAGGGGAGUGGAAUUCCAGGUGUAGCGGUGAAAUGCGUAGAUAUCUGGAGGAACAUCAGUGGCGAAGGCGACUCCCUGGCCAAAGACUGACGCUCAUGUGCGAAAGUGUGGGUAGCGAACAGGAUUAGAUACCCUGGUAGUCCACACCGUAAACGCUGUCUACUAGCUGUUUGUGGCUUUAAGCCGUGAGUAGCGAAGCUAACGCGAUAAGUAGACCGCCUGGGGAGUACGGCCGCAAGGUUAAAACUCAAAUGAAUUGACGGGGGCCCGCACAAGCGGUGGAGCAUGUGGUUUAAUUCGAUGCAACGCGAAGAACCUUACCUACACUUGACAUGUUGAGAAGUUACCA
This 446-nucleotide ribosomal RNA is filed under the name Alteromonas sp. Its description in RNAcentral is "bacterial SSU rRNA". It matches the Rfam family "Bacterial small subunit ribosomal RNA", at positions 556 to 1002 of the family's 1533-position model. Lineage: Bacteria; Pseudomonadati; Pseudomonadota; Gammaproteobacteria; Alteromonadales; Alteromonadaceae. The record is from RNAcentral.